This is a long non-coding RNA of Megalobrama amblycephala (Wuchang bream), 1771 nucleotides long. RefSeq lists it as uncharacterized. The transcript has 2 exons. NCBI's taxonomy places the organism in Eukaryota, Metazoa, Chordata, Actinopteri, Cypriniformes, Xenocyprididae. The record is from RefSeq and is a predicted model, not a curated record.
UAUGGCGGCGAUAGAAUACAGUGACGUCACAUGAAACCCAUGUAUAUAGAUGGAUAUAGAAAUAAUACAUAAAAUGGCUUCUGGUAGUUUAAAUUAGAAUUUUGACAGUUGGAGUUUCAACAGUUCUGCCUCAUUCGAACUUUCCGUCCAUAUAAGUCUGUUGUUUAUUUGUUUAUUUGUUUAUUUAUUUAUUUAUCUAUCCCCCUCAGAGUUUUAAUAGUCAUUUUUAGGAAAAGAUCACAUUAAGCAGAGUUUGGUGAUUCCAGCUUCAAAGCUCAAGGAGUUCAAGUCAGAAUUUUAGUCUCAGAAUACAUUUAAAUAGCGCUAGUAAGUUGUUUUUCUCAAGCUAACUUAAUUACAUUUUACUAUAAUUGGAAUAGCUUAAUAUUUCUGUUUUAAUGCGUUUUUGAUCAUUUUCUAACUAUCUACAUCCAUUGAUCAUGUGUGAAAACAUUUAAAUCUAAUAUGUUCACUUAGAAAUCAAAACCAAUAAAUGUUCAAACUUGCAUUUCUCACUUCAUGUGUGUGAUGUUUUGCAUGUUGUGUGCGUGUUUGUGUAGAAUUUAUAGAAAAGGAGUUUUAUGUGAAUUGUAAGCAGCUGUAAACACUCAAAAGACACGCUCUUGUCGCCAUCUAGUGGCGUUUUCCCUCCGUUUCCGAACACACUGGUAAAAAUUAAUAUUUCUCAACAAAAAUAUGAAUCUGUGUCCCUCACGAAUGGCCAUAUCGUCUGCUGUUAUACGAAUAAUGAAUUAGCAAUGACAUUUAAACCAUUUUCAAAGACCAUGACAUUAUUUGAGGAACGAUAUACUCGGCGCUUUUUUGUUGAUACUCAUAUGUUUUUAAAGUUUUGUUCACUGCCAUCAUAUAGACGGACGCGAGCAGGACAUUUAAAAUAUCUCCUCUAGUGGCCAGAAAAAGAGAGUCAACAGUAAUGACUAGGCUAGUACCACUCUUGUCCACGAGGGGGAGCUGCACACCGCGUCCUAACCAUAGACUGUCCUAACCAGACGCGAGUACGGCUGAGAGAUUCCAAACUCUUUAAUUAUAUUUUGUUAAACUUCUUAAAAAUAUCUAAUCUAUCAGAUCAUUUCAACCAAAGACACAGAAAAAUAUAAAUAUUUUUAACGGCUAUUUGUUCGUUUUAAGGAAAUGACGUCUUUGUUCCGGUUUCCGGUUAGGUGUCGAGCUCGAGCGCGUUCAAAACAUCGGCGGGAGGCGCUUGAUGCGCAGGCGUGAUAAUAUAAUCCUGCUAUUAAAAGAAUAUAAAUAUAAAGUUUCAGUGAGGCCAGUGUUGCUCAGUGGUUUAAUGCUCCCUCUGGCGGGUUAUUAAAGUGUUAUUAAAGUCCCGAAACCCGCAGCAGUGAAGCGGGAAGAUGAGCAGCUCACAUGUUCCGGUUCUGGAAAGUCCAGACUGCAGAAAGGCUUAAAACACUGUUUCAGGGAACGAUAACAUGCUCCUGCAGACACCAGUGGUUUACAGGUGGAAGAGAAUUAAUGUCACCGUUAUAAACACUAAAGAGACGUCUCUACUGUCUCUGAGAAACAGGAACCUGCUGGAUCUUAUCAGGCCCCUGGGAGCCUUGAGAGAAUGAGAGAAAUCAGGGAAUUGGGAUCGUUCAGGGGCGGGCUAAGCAAUAUUUAAAUAUUUCAAUGUAAAAUAAAAUAUUUUAAAACAUAUCAACAUCAUAUAAUAGUUUUGUAUCAUUCAAAAUGAUAUUUCUUAAAGCACUCGGUAAAAUUCAAUAAAAUGUCUUGUUUAUACCAUCUA